Molecule: long non-coding RNA, 1486 nt
Filed under: Mytilus galloprovincialis (Mediterranean mussel)
Lineage: Eukaryota; Metazoa; Mollusca; Bivalvia; Mytilida; Mytilidae
Source: RNAcentral
GGCGGAUUGUGCAAAAGUAACCCCUACGGAAACCUGCGUGAAUAGACUGUUACCAUAUAGUAACCGUCUGCUGACUCCGGAUGUACAUAAUUUUUAGACAGGUUAAUGUAUUCUGUUCGGGUAGGGCAUUCUGGUAUUCGAUCAAGUAAGAGCAACUUAAAGACGUAAAAUCAAGCUUGCAAUCGGCAUUUAUUGGGAAUAACUGUUUUCCGGCGAUGAUAUUAUGCGUGUAUAGAACACAUAAAGCAAUACAUUUUUCACUUAAAAUUGCACCUAAAGCAAGCAUGAUUUUACUUCUUUCCGCUACUCUUUUUUGACCGAGUACAAGAAUGUCCUACCUAUUAAAAUCGAAAAAUGAUGUAUUUUCCGGAGUGAAAGGUCGGUAAUAUGAAAAUAGUUUAUUCUAGUUUUAUAGAAGGGUCGACAGGUCCUGCUGCAUUCUUGACCUGCAAGGACCAGUCCUAGUUGACUGUCACAUUACAUGUAUUUUUUUUCUAUUCAUUUUGACCAAAUUUUAUACCGUGUGCAGAUUAUUCAUAUAAAGGGUUCCUGUCAGCGUUUCGUUUUCGAUUCUUCCUGUUAUAAAACAAAUGAACUAAUAUUUAUUUUAAUUAAAACAAAAGUGGCAUUUUUAUAAAAAAGAAAGUCUCGAUGCCUUGUGUUUAACGGUUGUUCCAGAUGUGCUUUCAAUACAUAACGACAAACAGGAUGAAUUAUUCCUUUGUUGUUUAAUUUUUAAAUUUGAUAAAUAUUUUCCUUAGAUACAUGUAACUGGUAACAUACAACACGAGUAUGGUUAAUUUAAAAGUUAAUCUGAACGCUGAUUACUAUUUCGUUAGUUUCCUUUUUUUGGACGGGGGUUGGUUGUUCAGAUAUAACAUUUUAUCUUUAAAGGGAACGAACUGAGAGGAAUUUUAUGGAGGAGUUACGUAAGAGUUUACUUAUAUCGCCUACAUGCUUGAUGUAUUGGGGUCAUGAAGGAGAUUUUUUUAAAUUUCUGUAUUCAAUUUCAAUGCCAUUUUCUGCUUUUUUUUUUAUUACCUUUGUUCAUUUUCUAUUUUUUUUUUCAAUUCUAGAAUUCAAUUAUACUCUUUUCUUAUUUUUUGUGGCUUUUUUUCUAUAUUCAAUUUUCCCCCCUCUUUUAUUCUGAAUUUUUUGGUCUAUUAUUCUCUAUUCUGUAAACACAAUCUAGAUCCUUAGAUAUAACAGCCCAAAGAACCUUACAUUACAUUAUUCUAAUGCAACAACUUUUGUAACGUUCAUUUUGAUUGGAUAACGUCACUUUCUUACAUGGCAUCAAUUGACAAUUGAUGCUAUGGGACGUACGCGCAAGCGCAGACGGCAUAUGACAGAUUUUAAAUACAUGUUUUAACGUUUUUUCUGUCAGUUUCCAUUAGAAUGGAGAUAACAAUAUUGUAUUUUAAGCUCCGACGGCAUCAAUUUGGGAUUUGAUGGUCGCAAAUACCCGUUUACUGUCUCCGCUAAC